Molecule: transfer RNA, 89 nt
Filed under: Clostridiales bacterium
Lineage: Bacteria; Bacillati; Bacillota; Clostridia; Eubacteriales
Description: tRNA-Ser
Rfam family: tRNA
About the family: Transfer RNA (tRNA) molecules are approximately 80 nucleotides in length. Their secondary structure includes four short double-helical elements and three loops (D, anti-codon, and T loops). Further hydrogen bonds mediate the characteristic L-shaped molecular structure. tRNAs have two regions of fundamental functional importance: the anti-codon, which is responsible for specific mRNA codon recognition, and the 3' end, to which the tRNAs corresponding amino acid is attached (by aminoacyl-tRNA synthetases). tRNAs cope with the degeneracy of the genetic code in two manners: having more than one tRNA (with a specific anti-codon) for a particular amino acid; and 'wobble' base-pairing, i.e. permitting non-standard base-pairing at the 3rd anti-codon position.
Source: RNAcentral
GGAGAAGUACUCAAGUUGGCUGAAGAGGCGCCCCUGCUAAGGGUGUAGGUCGGGUGACCGGCGCGGGAGUUCGAACCUCCCCUUCUCCG